GGAUAGCUCAGUUGGAGGAGCAUGAGAUUCUUAUUGCCAGGGUCAUGGGUUCAAGCCUCAUGUUGGACA
Molecule: non-coding RNA, 69 nt
Organism: Podarcis lilfordi (Lilford's wall lizard)
Lineage: Eukaryota; Metazoa; Chordata; Lepidosauria; Squamata; Lacertidae
Source: the annotation of a GenBank genome assembly